Molecule: ribosomal RNA, 549 nt
Filed under: Pseudomonas sp. RR4-4-13
Lineage: Bacteria; Pseudomonadati; Pseudomonadota; Gammaproteobacteria; Pseudomonadales; Pseudomonadaceae
Description: bacterial SSU rRNA
Rfam family: Bacterial small subunit ribosomal RNA
Source: RNAcentral
GUGGGGGACAACGUUUCGAAAGGAACGCUAAUACCGCAUACGUCCUACGGGAGAAAGCAGGGGACCUUCGGGCCUUGCGCUAUCAGAUGAGCCUAGGUCGGAUUAGCUAGUUGGUGAGGUAAUGGCUCACCAAGGCGACGAUCCGUAACUGGUCUGAGAGGAUGAUCAGUCACACUGGAACUGAGACACGGUCCAGACUCCUACGGGAGGCAGCAGUGGGGAAUAUUGGACAAUGGGCGAAAGCCUGAUCCAGCCAUGCCGCGUGUGUGAAGAAGGUCUUCGGAUUGUAAAGCACUUUAAGUUGGGAGGAAGGGUACUUACCUAAUACGUGAGUAUUUUGACGUUACCGACAGAAUAAGCACCGGCUAACUCUGUGCCAGCAGCCGCGGUAAUACAGAGGGUGCAAGCGUUAAUCGGAAUUACUGGGCGUAAAGCGCGCGUAGGUGGUUUGUUAAGUUGAAUGUGAAAUCCCCGGGCUCAACCUGGGAACUGCAUCCAAAACUGGCAAGCUAGAGUAGGGCAGAGGGUGGUGGAAUUUCCUGUGUAGCG